UACGUAGGGUGCGAGCGUUGUCCGGAUUUAUUGGGCAUAAAGAGCUCGUAGGCGGUUUGUCGCGUCGGCCGUGAAAUCUCCACGCUUAACGUGGAGCGUGCGGUCGAUACGGGCAGACUUGAGUUCGGUAGGGGAGACUGGAAUUCCUGGUGUAGCGGUGAAAUGCGCAGAUAUCAGGAGGAACACCGACGGCGAAGGCAGCUUACUGGGCCGAUACUGACGCUGAGGAGCGAAAGCGUGGGUAGCAAACAGG
Molecule: ribosomal RNA, 253 nt
Filed under: uncultured bacterium
Lineage: Bacteria
Description: partial 16S ribosomal RNA
Rfam family: Bacterial small subunit ribosomal RNA
Source: RNAcentral